GCGGGUGUGGUGGAAUUGGUAGACGCGCUGGACUCAAAAUCCUGUGCCGCAAGGCGUGUCGGUUCGAGUCCGACCACCCGCACCA
This 85-nucleotide transfer RNA is filed under the name Alphaproteobacteria bacterium. RNAcentral's name for it is "tRNA-Leu". It matches the Rfam family "tRNA". Rfam says of the family: Transfer RNA (tRNA) molecules are approximately 80 nucleotides in length. Their secondary structure includes four short double-helical elements and three loops (D, anti-codon, and T loops). The record is from RNAcentral. Lineage: Bacteria; Pseudomonadati; Pseudomonadota; Alphaproteobacteria. RNAcentral also lists the same sequence under 1 other name.